This 274-nucleotide ribosomal RNA is filed under the name uncultured bacterium. RNAcentral's name for it is "partial 16S ribosomal RNA". It matches the Rfam family "Bacterial small subunit ribosomal RNA", at positions 523 to 796 of the family's 1533-position model. The record is from RNAcentral.
AUACGGAGGGGGUUAGCGUUGUUCGGAAUUACUGGGCGUAAAGCGCACGUAGGCGGAUUGGAAAGUUGGGGGUGAAAUCCCGGGGCUCAACCCCGGAACUGCCUCCAAAACUUCCAAUCUAGAGAUCGAGAGAGGUGAGUGGAAUUCCAAGUGUAGAGGUGAAAUUCGUAGAUAUUUGGAGGAACACCAGUGGCGAAGGCGGCUCACUGGCUCGAUACUGACGCUGAGGUGCGAAAGCGUGGGGAGCAAACAGGAUUAGAUACCCUAGUAGUCC